This 788-nucleotide long non-coding RNA is filed under the name Phoenix dactylifera (date palm). RNAcentral's name for it is "long non-coding RNA (PDAC_LNC018250)". Lineage: Eukaryota; Viridiplantae; Streptophyta; Magnoliopsida; Arecales; Arecaceae. The record is from RNAcentral.
UUCCUCCUUUUAUAGCCUCCCCAGCGCCCCACUUUCCCUCACAUGGAUAAGAUCUUCCGAAUGGGAAGUAAGGGUGGGGAAGCGGUGGACGCGGGAUGAAGAUAGAGCUGAUCCGAGAGUUGGGAAGAAGAUUUGCUGGGAACUCGGACUCUGUUCGGCAUAUGUUCUUCUUCAACGUGGAGGAGACGUGGACGACUGGGAUCUCGGAUCGGAAUGGGCUGAAGUCGGCUUGAUCCUUGGCUGCAGGGACUGGCGAGAACGUUGAGAGGAUCUCGGAUCUGUUCCAAAGCAUGGGAAGACUGUGAGGAUAGGCGUGGGAAGUUUGCUGAGAUUCGAGUUUAUCCCGUGAGAGAAUGCUCUGUUCCGUGAAGCUCGGGAGGAUGAAGCCGAAUCGUGGGAUGAUUGCGGACGAAAUUUGGGAUCAAUGGCUCUGUUUUGAAGCUAAAACAGGGGAUGCGGAAGCUAAGAACGUGGGUUAAGGAUGCUAGAUGAGAUUGAAGGAAGGCUGAGAUCUGAUUUUUGGGAUGCUGCGGAUGGUUGGAUGCGGCUGGGAGGAAAUCCGGAUGGAGUCUGGAUUCGGUUGAGGACGUGGAUGAACAUAAAAGUUUGUUUGCUUGGCAUGCAUUGCGGGAGAAGCUGUUCCGUGGGAUAUUGGGACUUGAUUCCGAAACAGGGGAAAAACUUGGAUUCGGUUAACAGUUUAGAUGAAGCUUCCGUGAAGCUUGGGAACGGCUGGCCAUGCGUGAAACAGGGGAGAAGAUCACAUACGGGUCUGUUCCUUGGGAUAA